Molecule: ribosomal RNA, 468 nt
Filed under: uncultured bacterium
Lineage: Bacteria
Description: partial 16S ribosomal RNA
Rfam family: Bacterial small subunit ribosomal RNA
Source: RNAcentral
GACGAACGCUGGCGGCGUGCUUAACACAUGCAAGUCGAACGGAAAGGCCCUGCUUUUGUGGGGUGCUCGAGUGGCGAACGGGUGAGUAACACGUGAGUAACCUGCCCUUGACUUUGGGAUAACUUCAGGAAACUGGGGCUAAUACCGGAUAGGAGCUCCUGCUGCAUGGUGGGGGUUGGAAAGUUUCGGCGGUUGGGGAUGGACACGCGGCUUAUCAGCUUGUUGGUGGGGUAGUGGCUUACCAAGGCUUUGACGGGUAGCCGGCCUGAGAGGGUGACCGGCCACAUUGGGACUGAGAUACGGCCCAGACUCCUACGGGAGGCAGCAGUGGGGAAUAUUGCACAAUGGGCGGAAGCCUGAUGCAGCAACGCCGCGUGCGGGAUGACGGCCUUCGGGUUGUAAACCGCUUUCGCCUGUGACGAAGCGUGAGCGACGGUAAUGGGUAAAGAAGCACCGGCUAACUACGUG